RNAcentral lists this long non-coding RNA (1558 nucleotides) under Pongo abelii (Sumatran orangutan). RNAcentral describes it as "lincRNA". The record is from RNAcentral. Lineage: Eukaryota; Metazoa; Chordata; Mammalia; Primates; Hominidae.
AGAGCAGCGCGCGGGGCAGACCUCCGCGGGUCCCCCGGCGCUUCGGUCUCCGGAGACGCCCGGCCUCCUGGAGGGUUCGGCUUGUCCUCCUCUGGCGCCCGGCUCCCUCUGGCGGCCGGGCUGGCAGGACCUCAGCGCCCAGCCCUUCCGCCUUGUUACGUCCAGGGUCUCACUCUGUGUCUCAGGCUGGAGUACAGUGGUGCAAUCGUAGAUGGCUGCAGCCCUCGACCUCCUGGGCUCAAGUGAUCCUCCUGCCUUAGCCUGUUGAGUAGCUGGGAGUACAGAUGCACACCACCACACCCAGCCUAGAAUGAAGAAACCUGCAGUUGGGAAGCAUGAAUUUACCACCUAUUAAGAAUUGUGGCUUGCAUUGUAAGAGGAGCCUGUGAAUUCAGAGGCAAGUCUGCUGAGGACCGAAUGUUCCUGUCCAUAAAAACAGAAGUCUGGCCUGGGCUCCUCUCCUGGGUGAAUUUGCAGUGCCAGAUCCUUUCUAUCAGUUUGGUUUUGUUUCUUGUAUCUCUGGGAAGGCAGGCAGACAACACGGUCACCUGUGAAUGCAGCUACAAUUGGCUUAGCUGCCUCACUGAUAAAUGUGCCCCCAGUAAGCUACAAAGGGAUUACCAGCGUUCUCAGCAGCUAAAGGAACUGGUGAAGAUUUCCCCAGCAAAAAGUAGAAGCUCAGUGUUUCAUAGAUGAAGACUGGGGAGAUUGCAAAAGACCCAUCCAGCAGUGGUUCUCAGACCUCAGUGUGCAUCAGAAUCACCUGGAGGGCUUGUGAAAACACGUAUUGCUGGGCCACACCCCCAGAAUUUCUGGAUCAGUAAAGCUGGGAUUCUUAGUUUGAGUAGCCAACUUGCAGAAUACAAUAGAAUUUUGGGAGGAGCCCCUCGAUGCCUGGAUUUACUGUUGGAGAGACAGUACAAUAUACACCAGAUGACUUAUCUGUGAACCAUGGAAACAUUUGGAAAAGCCUACUUCAUGCUUUGAACAGAAGAGUUUUAUCAGUUUUAAAUGUUUCUUCAUUUCUAUAGCUUCCUUUAUCUGAGGAGCUUAAGCCAUUUUGUAGAGGCAUUAAGUAUUGCCUCAGUCCUAAAUAAUAUGUGAGACAAGGUGUGAGGAAUAUAGAGAUUCAUAAAAUAAUCCCCAUCUUCAAGGAACUCACAGUCAGGAAGAACACAGCCUGCAACACAAAUAACUGCAAUAUAGUAGAAGUGCCAAUAGGAGCUCUAUGAAGGGUGUGAAACAGGAAAAGCUACAUAGAGGAAAUGGCAGACACUCUGUGGAUUGUGACCUCUUGGUGGGCCAUGAAAUCAGUUUGGGGGUUUGAGAGCAUCAUUCUUUUAAUAAAACAGAAGAGAAUCAUCUGCAAUAAGGAACCCAUGGAUGAAUACCAUCUGGUCCUGGUGACUUACUGCACAGAGUCCCUCAAGUUGCUCCAUACCUUUCUCCUAAGAGACUGAAGAAUCUCUGACAAGGCCAUUCUCUGCUUUGCCAUAAAAUGUGUCCUUGGAACAAGAAUUUCCCCAUUGUCUUCUUCAAUAAAUACUGAUUCAAAGUA